UUGGGCGGUGAGUCCUCGGAUGGCUUCCGGUGGUGCGGGGAAAGCCCUGCGUGCUGGAUCCCGCUGUGUCGGGGGACAAGGGCCCUGGAUGGCGGUUGGUCGUGGACAGAGACGCGCACGCGGCUUGCCAAGAGCUGCUCCCCGCCCGCGCGGCCUCAAGUCUGACUGAGUCCCACAGCUCGGAGGCUUCGUGGGUUGAAAAAGACAACUAUUAUCCUUAAAAAAAAGAACAAACAAAACAAAACAAAAAACAAAAAGAAAACAACAACAACAAAAAAACACAAACACACACCGGAACGCCUAUAUAAAGAGCUAAGCGGCAGUAGGACUGGAGAUAACGGGUCUCCAAUCUUCUCACGCGCUUCUAAACCACACGACGCCAACAAGAAGUGGAUUAAGGGCGGCGCCUCCCCCAGCAGGCGCGCUCCACGCGGCAUCAAGUCCAGGGGGUUCAGCGAAGCUACGAAUGACACCGACAGGAUUCGGACGCUCCUAGAAUACUAAUAUAAGGAUGGACAUUGGAGCCUCAUGACAAAAAUGAAAGUGAACAUGAUGUGGGAAAUAUGAAGAUAGGACCCACAAGCUAAGGAUUCUGGAGCAGAAAGGUAGGAGUCUGAGUCAUUUAUGAUAUCUUGAAGCUGCUGCAGGAAGUAGUCCUAAAGUGGCCACCCCUCAACUCAUUGUAACCCCAAUUUGGUUAGCUUGUUUUCUGUUAUACUGUAGCUAAACGUGUUCUUAGCUAAUACUAUGAUAUUAUCUUCUAGUCAUCUUGCUUGUAAACUCGACUGGUUAGAUAGCAACAUGACCAUAUGUCAGAAAUGAAAGAGCUGUCACAAAGUAACACAUCAAGUCCUGUAACAUUUCCUGCCAAUUUCAUAGGUAUACCAAAUUAUAUGAUUAAGAAAUACAUGUGUAUUAAAGGAAAAAAUAGAAAGUAGAGAGAAAGAUAAGAAUACCCUUAGUUGGAGGCACCUGGGUGGCUCAGUUGGUUAAGCAUCUGACUUGAUUUCACUCAAGUCAUGAUCUCAGAGUCCUGGGAUGAGGCCCCACAUCAGGCUUCCUGCUGAGUGGGGAGUUUGCUUGUCUUGUUUCCCUCUACCCCUCCCUCUGCAUGUGCACGUACACUCUCUUUGUCUAAAAUAUAUAAACCUCUUUUAAAAAUACCCAUAGUUGAACCUUCUAAAGUCCCAUUUUAACAUUUUGCUAUAGUUGUGUUUCAUCUUAUUUUAUUCAGAGGUUCCCUCCCCCGUCAUUAUGACAUUACUGCAAAUUCAUCUUUUGUUUAAC
RNAcentral lists this long non-coding RNA (1287 nucleotides) under Canis lupus familiaris (dog). Its description in RNAcentral is "lncRNA (ENSCAFG00000056685.1)". The record is from RNAcentral. Lineage: Eukaryota; Metazoa; Chordata; Mammalia; Carnivora; Canidae.